This 195-nucleotide ribosomal RNA is filed under the name Microbacteriaceae bacterium. Its description in RNAcentral is "partial 16S ribosomal RNA". It matches the Rfam family "Bacterial small subunit ribosomal RNA", at positions 1339 to 1533 of the family's 1533-position model. Lineage: Bacteria; Bacillati; Actinomycetota; Actinomycetes; Micrococcales; Microbacteriaceae. The record is from RNAcentral.
UAAUCGCGGAUCAGCACGCCGCGGUGAAUACGUUCCCGGGCCUUGUACACACCGCCCGUCACACCAUGGGAGUUGUUUUCAUUUUAAGACGUGACUCUAACCGCAAGGAGGAGAGCGUCUACAGUGGGAGCGAUGACUGGGGUGAAGUCGUAACAAGGUAGCCGUAGGGGAACCUGCGGCUGGAUCACCUCCUUU